UACGUAGGGUGCGAGCGUUAAUCGGAAUUACUGGGCGUAAAGCGUGUGUAGGCGGCCUCGCAAGUCGGAUGUGAAAGCCCUGGGCUCAACCCAGGAAGUGCACUCGAUACUGCUUGGCUUGAGUCUCGGAGAGGUUGGUGGAAUUCUCGGUGUAGAGGUGAAAUUCGUAGAUAUCGAGAGGAACACCGGUGGCGAAGGCGGCCAACUGGACGAAGACUGACGCUGAGACACGAAAGCGUGGGGAGCAAACAGG
Molecule: ribosomal RNA, 253 nt
Filed under: uncultured bacterium
Lineage: Bacteria
Description: partial 16S ribosomal RNA
Rfam family: Bacterial small subunit ribosomal RNA
Source: RNAcentral